RNAcentral lists this ribosomal RNA (497 nucleotides) under uncultured bacterium. RNAcentral's name for it is "partial 16S ribosomal RNA". It matches the Rfam family "Bacterial small subunit ribosomal RNA", at positions 28 to 507 of the family's 1533-position model. The record is from RNAcentral.
GAUGAACGCUGGCGGCGUGCCUAAUACAUGCAAGUCGAGCGAACAGAUGAUGAGCUUGCUCCUCUUACGUUAGCGGCUGACGGGUGAGUAACACGUGGAUAACCUACCUAUAAGACUGGGAUAACUUCGGGAAACCGGAGCUAAUACCGGAUAAUAUAUUGAACCGCAUGGUUCAAUAGUUAAAUACGGUUUUUCUGUCACUUAUAGAUGGUUCCGCGCCGCAUUAGCUAGUUGGUAAGGUAACGGCUUACCAAGGCAACGAUGCUUAGCCGACCUGAGAGGGUGAGCGGACACACUGGAACUGAGACACGGACCAGACUCCUACGGGAGGCAGCAGUAGGGAAUAUUCCGCAAUGGGCGAAAGCCUGACGGAGCAACGCCGCGUGAGUGAAGAAGGUCUUCGGAUCGUAAAACUCUGUUAGUAGGGAAGAACAAAUGUGUAAGUAAAUAUGCACGUAUUGACGGUAACUAAUCAGAAAGCCACGGCUAACUACGUG